This 286-nucleotide unclassified non-coding RNA is filed under the name fungal sp. RNAcentral's name for it is "partial internal transcribed spacer region". The stretch from base 1 to 46 matches the Rfam family "Eukaryotic small subunit ribosomal RNA", at positions 1786 to 1831 of the family's 1831-position model. The record is from RNAcentral. Lineage: Eukaryota; Fungi.
AAGUCGUAACAAGGUUUCCGUAGGUGAACCUGCGGAAGGAUCAUUACUAAUUUAAUAGUCAUUUGACUAUUCAGUUUUAUAAACUGGUCAUCAUUCACGUUAAUUUAUAGGAUUAUAAAUUAACAAUGGUUUUUGGGUGUUUUUGAUACUAAAAAUACCCACAUCAGUGGUAUAGUACUAUCCACUCUAAAUAUUUGUACUAUGAAAUCAAAUUAACCAUUAAGCCAUGAUUAUGAUUGUUGUUGAAUAAACAAAAUAACUUUUAACAAUGGAUCUCUUGGCUCUU